GCUUUAUAAAUAGUUUAGACUUAGUUGAUUCAAAAUUUUUAAGAGUUAGGAUUAAUUAUUUUAUUUUAUUGGGGUGAUGCGAGUAUAAAUAUUAUUAACUGCUUGAAUAUCAAUUCUGUUAUACAAGAGUUAAAUUAUAUGAUCCUUUUUAGAGAUUAAAAGAUUAAGUU
This 170-nucleotide ribosomal RNA is filed under the name Lophozozymus dodone. RNAcentral's name for it is "partial 16S ribosomal RNA". The record is from RNAcentral. Lineage: Eukaryota; Metazoa; Arthropoda; Malacostraca; Decapoda; Xanthidae.